Molecule: unclassified non-coding RNA, 314 nt
Filed under: plant metagenome
Description: partial contains 5.8S ribosomal RNA, internal transcribed spacer 2, and large subunit ribosomal RNA
Rfam family: 5.8S ribosomal RNA (bases 1-105)
Source: RNAcentral
GAAAUGCGAUAAUUAAUGUGAAUUGCAGAAUUCAGUGAAUCAUCGAGUCUUUGAACGCACAUUGCGCCCCCUGGUAUUCCGGGGGGCAUGCCUGUCCGAGCGUCAUUGCUGCCCUCAAGCACGGCUUGUGUGUUGGGCUUCCGUCCCUGGCAACGGGGACGGGCCCAAAAGGCAGUGGCGGCACCAUGUCUGGUCCGCGAGCGUAUGGGGCUUUGUCACCCGCUCCCGUAGGUCCAGCUGGCAGCUAGCCUCGCAACCAAUCUUUUUAACCAGGUUGACCUCGGAUCAGGUAGGGAUACCCGCUGAACUUAAGC